Molecule: ribosomal RNA, 446 nt
Filed under: uncultured bacterium
Lineage: Bacteria
Description: bacterial SSU rRNA
Rfam family: Bacterial small subunit ribosomal RNA
Source: RNAcentral
CCCAGACUCCUACGGGAGGCAGCAGUGGGGGAUAUUGCACAAUGGGGGAAACCCUGAUGCAGCGACGCCGCGUGAAGGAAGAAGUAUCUCGGUAUGUAAACUUCUAUCAGCAGGGAAGAAAAUGACGGUACCUGAGUAAGAAGCACCGGCUAAAUACGUGCCAGCAGCCGCGGUAAUACGUAUGGUGCAAGCGUUAUCCGGAUUCACUGGGUGUAAAGGGAGCGUAGACGGCGACGCAAGUCUGGAGUGAAAGCCCGGGGCCCAACCCCGGGACUGCUCUGGAAACUGCGUCGCUGGAGUACGGGAGGGGCAGGCGGAAUUCCUGGUGUAGCGGUGAAAUGCGUAGAUAUCAGGAGGAACACCGGCGGCGAAGGCGGCCUGCUGGACCGUGACUGACGUUGAGGCUCGAGAGCGUGGGGAGCAAACAGGAUUAGAUACCCUCGUAG